Molecule: ribosomal RNA, 460 nt
Filed under: uncultured bacterium
Lineage: Bacteria
Description: partial 16S ribosomal RNA
Rfam family: Bacterial small subunit ribosomal RNA
Source: RNAcentral
CCUACGGGAGACAGCAGUGAGGAAUAUUGGUCAAUGGGCGGAAUCCUGAACCAGCCAAGCCGCGUGAAGGAUGACGGCCCUACGAGUUGUAAACUGCUUUUGUACGGGGGUAAAAUGCCGUACGUGUAGGGUUUUGCAAGUACCGUACGAAUAAGGAUCGGCUAACUCCGUGCCAGCAGCCGCGGUAAUACGGAGGAUCCGAGCGUUAUCCGGAUUUAUUGGGUUUAAAGGGUGCGUAGGCGGUGUUUUAAGUUAGCAGUGAAAUACCGGGGCUCAACAGUGGGACUGCCGCUGAUACUGGAGGACUAGAGUACAGUAGCGGCAGGCGGAAUUCGUGGUGUAGCGGUGAAAUGCUUAGAUAUUACGCAGAACUCCGAUUGCGAAGGCAGCCUGCUGGGCUGUAACUGACGCUGAUGCACGAAAGCGUGGGUAUCGAACAGGAUUAGAUACCCCAGUAGUC